RNAcentral lists this unclassified non-coding RNA (352 nucleotides) under soil metagenome. RNAcentral describes it as "partial contains 5.8S ribosomal RNA, internal transcribed spacer 2, and large subunit ribosomal RNA". The stretch from base 1 to 120 matches the Rfam family "5.8S ribosomal RNA", at positions 35 to 154 of the family's 154-position model. The record is from RNAcentral.
GAUGAAGAACGUAGCGAAAUGCGAUAAGUAAUGUGAAUUGCAGAAUUCAGUGAAUCAUCGAAUCUUUGAACGCACAUUGCGCCCGCCAGUAUUCUGGCGGGCAUGCCUGUUCGAGCGUCAUUACAACCCUCAGGCCCCCGGGCCUGGCGUUGGGGAUCGGCGGGAGCCCCCUGUGGGCACACGCCGUCCCUCAAAUACAGUGGCGGUCCCGCCGCAGCUUCCAUUGCGUAGUAGCUAACACCUCGCAACUGGAGAGCGGCGCGGCCAUGCCGUAAAACACCCAACUUCUGAAUGUUGACCUCGAAUCAGGUAGGAAUACCCGCUGAACUUAAGCAUAUCAAUAAGCGGAGGA